This 450-nucleotide ribosomal RNA is filed under the name uncultured bacterium. RNAcentral's name for it is "bacterial SSU rRNA". It matches the Rfam family "Bacterial small subunit ribosomal RNA", at positions 354 to 796 of the family's 1533-position model. The record is from RNAcentral.
GUGGGGAAUUUUGGACAAUGGGCGCAAGCCUGAUCCAGCCAUGCCGCGUGUCUGAAGAAGGCCUUCGGGUUGUAAAGGACUUUUGUCAGGGAAGAAAAGGCUGUUGCUAAUACCGACAGCUUAUGACGGUACCUGAAGAAUAAGCACCGGCUAACUACGUGCCAGCAGCCGCGGUAAUACGUAGGGUGCGAGCGUUAAUCGGAAUUACUGGGCGUAAAGCGAGCGCAGACGGUUACUUAAGCAGGAUGUGAAAUCCCCGGGCUCAACCUGGGAACUGCGUUCUGAACUGGGUGACUAGAGUGUGUCAGAGGGAGGUAGAAUUCCACGUGUAGCAGUGAAAUGCGUAGAGAUGUGGAGGAAUACCGAUGGCGAAGGCAGCCUCCUGGGAUAACACUGACGUUCAUGCUCGAAAGCGUGGGUAGCAAACAGGAUUAGAAACCCGAGUAGUCC